This 433-nucleotide ribosomal RNA is filed under the name uncultured bacterium. Its description in RNAcentral is "partial 16S ribosomal RNA". It matches the Rfam family "Bacterial small subunit ribosomal RNA", at positions 29 to 507 of the family's 1533-position model. The record is from RNAcentral.
AACGAACGCUGGCGGCAUGCCUAACACAUGCAAGUCGAACGAGACCUUCGGGUCUAGUGGCGCACGGGUGCGUAACACGUGGGAAUCUGCCCUUUGCUUCGGAAUAACAGUUAGAAAUGACUGCUAAUACCGGAUGAUGUCGAAAGACCAAAGAUUUAUCGGCAAAGGAUGAGCCCGCGUAGGAUUAGGUAGUUGGUGGGGUAAAGGCCUACCAAGCCGACGAUCCUUAGCUGGUCUGAGAGGAUGAUCAGCCACACUGGGACUGAGACACGGCCCAGACUCCUACGGGAGGCAGCAGUGGGGAAUAUUGGACAAUGGGCUAAAGCCUGAUCCAGCUAUGCCGCGUGAGUGAUGAAGGCCUUAGGGUUGUAAAGCUCUUUUACCAGGGAUGAUAAUGACAGUACCUGGAGAAUAAGCUCCGGCUAACUCCGUG